RNAcentral lists this ribosomal RNA (357 nucleotides) under uncultured fungus. RNAcentral's name for it is "eukaryotic LSU rRNA". The stretch from base 1 to 125 matches the Rfam family "5.8S ribosomal RNA", at positions 30 to 154 of the family's 154-position model. Lineage: Eukaryota; Fungi. The record is from RNAcentral.
GCAUCGAUGAAGAACGCAGCGAAAUGCGAUAAGUAAUGUGAAUUGCAGAAUUCAGUGAAUCAUCGAAUCUUUGAACGCACAUUGCGCCCGCCAGAAUUCUGGCGGGCAUGCCUGUUCGAGCGUCAUUUCAACCCUCGAGCUCCCCUUUCGGGGGGAGCCCGGCGUUGGGGACCCGGCGCUAACAACGCCGGCCCCGAAAUGGAGUGGCGGCCCGUCCGCGGCGACCUCUGCGUAGUAACAACCACUCGCACCGGGACCCGGGCGCGGCCACGCCGUAAAACACCCCACCUUCCGAAUGUUGACCUCGAAUCAGGUAGGAAUACCCGCUGAACUUAAGCAUAUCAAUAAGCGGAGGAA